GGAUUAGCGUCCCGUUGGCAAGACACAAACACCGCCGAGGCUCGGAGGAGGAAGAGGAGGCGGCGGCGGCUCCCUCACGCCUGGCGCCGGGAAGAUGCUUGCUGCUGUCUGCCGUGACUCUGGCGGCGGUGAUGACGCAGGAGGCCUCUGGUGCCGAGACACGGGCGUUCAGAGCGGCCAAGACUGCGGCCCAGCACCACCCCCGGCCCGGCCAGGCAUUCAUCGAGGCCAACUGUACCCGACACUUGUGCCCUAAUGUAACGCACGGUGCCCGACCUUAAGACCCCUAACUACUAACGACGCCUCCGAGCGAGCCCUCCCCCUCCUUUAUAUUCAACCAAAUGAAACCUAACUUAAUCCUCUGAGACGUCCACUCCCAUACGUAGGGCUAAUUAGGACAGGUGAACUCCUCAGGCAGCUCAACACAGUGUCCAUCAACAGCUCCAAGGUAUGUCGGCAUGUGAAAGAGUAUUGGUAGAGGAUGGAGAAGUCUGCAGAAUCCUCACUUUACAGCAGGCAUAAGUGCAUGUAGCAAAUCCUGAGUGACAAUGACUGUCGCUUAACCCCGUCAGUGUCCGGCCCAGCUCAGCAUGCCAAGAACACCCCUACAGGAGAACAGCUAGGCAGUUGACAGUAGGACAGAAGAGGCUUGUAGGGAAGAAUAAAUGUCAUGGAAUGGUGGGACAUCCGGCACAGCAAGGAUGGGCUGGCGGAGGAGGAGCUGUCCAUGAGUGGCUGCAGAGUGGUGUGGUCCCGAGGUCAGGCUGGCCGAGUGGGGUCCCGGCAGGUUGUCAAGUGCACGACCUGAGACUCGGCUGUGAUACAUGCCAUGCUCGCCUCCUCCUACACCUGCCCAGACCAACCGUCCCUGCUGGGAGAACCUGUCCCUCAAGAACCCACAGGUUCAAUCACACACUCUGCGAAGCUUACGUGGAGGAAAACUGGUCUCCCGGCCAGGUGGUCACCAACCUUGUGGCCACGGACCUUGAUGCCUGGGACCUGGGCAAGCUGAGAUACACCGUCCUGCACCAGACCUCAGAAGCAGCCGUCACCAUGAACAAGGAAGGCAGUCUAUACACUGAGACACCCCUGAAUCGCGAGUCCCUGCCCGUGCACAGCCUCAAGGUGUCCGUGAUGGACGAAGAGAUCCAGGCCAGCUUCACGGUGGUGUGCGACAUGAACAAAAACCCACCAGUCUUUACGCUGCCGGAGUACCAGGCGAACAUCAUGGCUCCCAGGACGACCAUUCUUAAGGUCAUUGGUGUUAAGCUCACCGGGGAGCUGAGCAGUUGGACAUCACCCAAAGACAUCAUAUUGAAGGUCGCUGGAAUUCUGACAGUUAAAGGCGGCACCGGGGCAAUUGUUGAAUAUUUGGGGCCUGGCGUGGACUCCAUCUCCUGCACUGGCAUGGCCACGAUAUGCAACAUGGGCACCGAGAUCGAUUGGCUACAGUGAAGGUCGUGGCAGAGAGUGUACUCAAACUCCUACUGUGAGCUACUCCUGCUGCCUGCGCCCUCACCACCCCUGUGAAGGACGCCCAGCUGACCCAACCCUCCUCGGUGCCUGUGAGGGCUGCUCCACGUGUCAUCAGGAAGGAGGACUUUGACAACCUAGAGAAACCUGCACAGAUGAAGAGCUGGACGUGCUGGACCCGGCAGACACAUUCGUGGUGUUGUGAUUCACUCGUAACACUGGAGAACACAGAUUUCUGUUGCCAGGAAGGAGGAGGAACAAAGAAGAAGAGGAGGAAGAACAAGAAGAAAACAAAAGGAACAGGAAGAAUUAAAGAAUAGAGAAACAACACACACACACACACACAGGAACAUGAAAAGCACAAUAUUUUCUUCUGGUUUAAUUUUUAUUAGUUCAUAUUUUCACAACAGCUUUCAAGGUUCCACAGUGUAAUCUGCACACACACACACACACACACACACACACACACACAAACCAUGGUACUCAGCACAUUGCACUCUGGUAUUUUCUGGCAGACAGCUGCGUCAAAGAACACAAACGGACGUCACAAAAUAACAGUUUUAACGCAAACUUUGUCGUUGGUUGUGUCGGUGCGAGAGUUUUUGAGGCCGGAGAAUGAUGAACACAAUGUGCUGAAUACUGUCACUGCUGCUAACAGAUGUAUACCAACAUACAGAUUCACUCAGGAUAUACACAUACAAUAUA
RNA transcript from Eriocheir sinensis (Chinese mitten crab), 2178 nucleotides. It is a transcript of the gene named protocadherin Fat 1-like, with no coding region annotated. The transcript is spliced from 8 exons. The record is from RefSeq and is a predicted model, not a curated record. NCBI's taxonomy places the organism in Eukaryota, Metazoa, Arthropoda, Malacostraca, Decapoda, Varunidae.